AUGGCUGCUGAUCGGCGCCACCCGGCUGUGAACGACGUGUACCUGACGCUCGUCGGCGCCAGCAACACCCUCGCCGACGUCCAGCGCCGCCUUGACCUCGAGUUCCGUGCCUCCUACCCUGACCACGCAAACCCGGCGAAACUGGUAGGGCGAGUGAAGCGGGUGCAAGAGGAGGUGGCUGCGCUCAAGGAUCUCUGCCGCGACCUCCUCGCCCAGAAGCAGGAGCUGAUCGACAUGAUGCGCACGAGCCUGGCUGCGCAGCGGAGCGCCACGCAACGGCUUCUCGCCUCCUCCGGGCUGCCCCUCAUGACCGACGACGAGGAGGCCGCCUGCGCCAGCCUCAAGCAGGUGAUCGACGAGUGGACUGAUCAGCUGAAGCCAAUGGCAGGGGGUCCGGAUGGGGAGAAUGAAGACACCAACCAGAUCCUCUUCUCCGCAAUCCUUUAG
RNAcentral lists this ribosomal RNA (447 nucleotides) under Triticum aestivum (bread wheat). RNAcentral's name for it is "partial small subunit ribosomal RNA". The record is from RNAcentral. Lineage: Eukaryota; Viridiplantae; Streptophyta; Magnoliopsida; Poales; Poaceae.